GCUCACUGCAUCCUGAAACUCCUGGGCUCAAGCAAUCUUUCUGCCUCAGCCUCCUGAGUAUCUGGGACUGCAGGAACAAGCUACCACACCAAGAGAGUGCUGGAAGGGAGACUGCUGUCCCCACAAUGGCUGCAGCCCCAUUCCUUUCUCCAAGCUGCUUGGGUGAACAUUCCAGGAUCCUGACAUUCUGUGGAAAUUGAUGAGUGCUUGCUCAAAGGUCGAUGAUGUGCUACAGAUGGCAUCACCUGUUAGAGACAGAGCUUUCUCAAGAGGAGCUUUGAUUUCCUUUACUUCCUGAACUGCUAUUUCACAGUCUCUCAGUAGAUGUCAGCAGCACAGCAAACAUCUCGGUGCCCAUCAUGGAAGCAGGAUACUUUUCCCUCAAGAGCAAAACUGGGGCAACUUCAGAGCGCACAUGUGAUAUAAUACCUCUCCUGGGCACCACCAGUCUGAGGACAAAGUACCAGGGCUAUAUCCACCUUGAAAUAUUGGAUGCUCCGAAGAAAUGCCACAUGUGUCUGGGCCUCUGAUACUUAGCACAAGCUCUGUAUACUUGGAACAUCUUACACCAUUUUCUACCUAUUGUAAUUGUAUUUACUUAGCAAAUGUUGUCUUCUACAUGAAGCCCUCAAGGAUGCCCUAGGUGCAGCUAAUCACUCAUUGCAUUUUAUAUGAUCCUAUGAACCUAUGCUGUAACAGUGGGAUUGUUUCUGUAUUUCUUAACAAUCUGUGAGCCCCUUGAGUCUAUAACCAUACGUUAUUAUCUUUGUACCUCAA
Long non-coding RNA from Pongo pygmaeus (Bornean orangutan), 777 nucleotides. RefSeq lists it as uncharacterized. The record is from RefSeq and is a predicted model, not a curated record. The transcript is spliced from 4 exons. NCBI's taxonomy places the organism in Eukaryota, Metazoa, Chordata, Mammalia, Primates, Hominidae.